UUUCGAAGUUCGUCGCAUAAAUUAUGCAAUUUUUCAAUGAUGUCUCAAUUUUCGUCCUUGAUAUUUUUUAUCCUUGGGUACAGAUGAAAUGGAAAUUCCUUUUUCAAAUUAUCGAUAAGUAAAAGGUGAAAGUGACCUUUAGAAAUUUUCUGUCGAAGAUUGCACCUUAGUUACUGCAUCCAAUUAGCAAACGCUGACAGUUGAUAAAUUUAGGAAAAAUUAUGAAAAUUGAAGUGUCGAAUCCAGCAUAUCAAACCCAGAUUCACCUGAAAAGCAAACAACAUUUUUACAAGCCUGAUAAGACGUCGGCUCACUUGUGAAAGAAUUCAACAUCUAAAAGAAAAGCUCUUCAGUCUACAGAAGGUUUUCAACAUAAAAAGAAACCAGUUGUAUUUCUGUCUGGUAUUCAAAUGAAAAAGUUGCAAGAUUUUUGGACUUUAUUACAUAGAAGAACAAUGUUACAGAUAAGCUUUGUAAGUGGGCGGUUCAAAUAUCAGUGCUGAAUGCAAAUGGACGAUGAAAGGACAAUCGAUGUGUCCGUGAUGCAAUGAAUGCUGCUUCUAUAAGCUAAAGCGCAAAAAGUGUCUUCAGUCCAAUCGCAUUCGACUACAAGUAAGAUCGUAUGAUUUUGGAAUCUUGGUAGAUCACGCCUAAUUUUAAGAGCAAGAAGUUAAGAGUAAUCACAUUGUAUAAGUAUACAAUUAUUUUUUUAAUAAUUAUGCUUAGUAAUUAAAAAUAAUCGGAUUGUUUUACUUUCUAAAUUGUGCAGUUCAGAACCAAUCGAAUAACGCGCGAAUAAUAUAAUUAUAUAAUCUCCAAAUAAUCAGCUGAAAGUAUGUUUAUUUAUAGGAAAUCUUUCUUUUACAAUUGAAAGAAAUUUCAGUAUUUCUUUGCCCAUUUAACCGAAUUAGAAUAUUUAAUAGCAAUGUAAUUUAAUUUAACCGCAGUUUAAUUAUCGAACGAUUUUAUUCUAAAUUUUCACGUAUGUCCCUCUUCAAUUUAGACAUCACCCAUCUCUUCUAUCCCUAUUAUUUUCAAACAUGUUAUUUCUGAACUUGCAGGAAGUGAGUAUUUAUUGGAGAAUCUUUAGCUGUUCCUAUUAAAUUUUUUUAAUUAAAUUUCUUCCCCAUUGGUACACCUAAUGUUCUUCUCAUGGCUUAAAGAUACUUGGGUAAGGGAUAAGCGAGAUCCAUAUAGGGAGAUGGUUAAUAGAUAUGGUAGAAAGCUUGAACAAAACCCACCCAAUUCCAUUUUGACCUGGAAUAAUGAAAUCAAGACUGUAAAAAUGCCACAAGUGCUUCCAAGCAUUUUGAAAAGAUAAUUUAGUCAGUUUACUUCAGAAACCAAAAAAAAUCGCAUUUCUAGAUUUUAAGAACAGUCUUAA
Molecule: long non-coding RNA, 1384 nt
Organism: Argiope bruennichi
Lineage: Eukaryota; Metazoa; Arthropoda; Arachnida; Araneae; Araneidae
Exons: 3
Source: RefSeq, a predicted model, not a curated record